ACAUCUAUAUUUCAUUUUCAUAACUAGAAUUCAAACACAAGUCACUUAUCAAGCAUUAUCAUUUUCGGCUCAAUAGCUACAUACAAGGAGCAUGAUUUUGAUUUACUUAAAACAUGAUCUAAUCGAAUCAUAAUCUAAGAUCCAUUACUCAAAAACUUACCUCAGAUGUUGUCGAACGAUUUCGGCGACUAUUCGAUCACUUUUUCCUUUCCCUUAUCCAACUUUG
Molecule: long non-coding RNA, 226 nt
Filed under: Gossypium barbadense (sea-island cotton)
Lineage: Eukaryota; Viridiplantae; Streptophyta; Magnoliopsida; Malvales; Malvaceae
Description: long non-coding RNA (GBAR_LNC007146)
Source: RNAcentral